Molecule: unclassified non-coding RNA, 211 nt
Filed under: Hevea brasiliensis (rubber tree)
Lineage: Eukaryota; Viridiplantae; Streptophyta; Magnoliopsida; Malpighiales; Euphorbiaceae
Source: RNAcentral
GCCCGCAUGUGUAUGCGAUUGUGUCGCAACUUGUGGAGAGCACAUUGUGCUGGGAAGCACUCAAUGUGUUGGAGGCACUCUUGCAUAGUUGCAGCGGAUUGACUGGUGGCCAUGUGGAUGACCUUGGGCUGUAUGAGAACGGCUAUGUUGUAGGUGAGAAGUCUCUGCAAGCGAUACUGGCACCUCAGAGCUCGUUCAAAGCAAGAAGUGG